Non-coding RNA from Octopus bimaculoides (California two-spot octopus), 195 nucleotides. Lineage: Eukaryota; Metazoa; Mollusca; Cephalopoda; Octopoda; Octopodidae. The record is from Rfam.
AUCGCUUCUCGGCCUUUUUGCUAAGAUCAAAGUGUAGCAUCUGUUCUUAUCAGCUUAAUAUCUGAUAUGGUCCCUAUUUGGGGGCUAUCGAUAUUAAACUGCUUUUUAGAACAAGGCGAAGAGUUAGGGGCUUGCUCCGCCUUUGCCAUGGGUUGUCCUGGUAUUGCAGUAUUUCCAGGAUGCAGUCCAUUUCUC